AAGUCGUAACAAGGUUUCCGUAGGUGAACCUGCGGAAGGAUCAUUAAAGAGAUUAAAAACUGGGCGCUUCAGGGAGGGGUAACCCUCACCUGUCGGUCCCCAAUCUCCCAAACCCCCCGUCUAUCGACCUCCAUUUUUACAAACCCUGUACAAACACAAAGUCGUCCCUAGCGGGAUGCAUUAUACUGAAUGUACAAAAAUCAAAACUUUCAACAACGGAUCUCUUGGUUCUGGCAUCGAUGAAGAACGCAGCGAAAUGCGAUAAGUAAUGUGAAUUGCAGAAUUCAGUGAAUCAUCGAAUCUUUGAACGCACAUUGCGCCCCCUGGUAUUCCGGGGGGCAUGCCUGUUCGAGCGUCACAUAAACAAGCUCAAGCACCGNUUGACGUUGGGCGAAUAGGGCCGCCGUACUUGUAUCCUGAGAAGUAUGGAAUUUCUUCGCGGCCCCGCCUCAAAAUUGUCGGCAGCGGCACAGAAGCCCCGAGCGUACCAAGACCUAAUCGUCUCCGCUCCGNNGGNCUUUCUGAUACCGUCUUUGCCCCAUAAUGAACCCAGCUUAUCUAUAAAAUUGACCUCGGAUCAGGUAGGGAUACCCGCUGAACUUAAGCAUAUCAAUAAGCGGAGGAAAAGAAACCAACAGGGAUUGCCCUAGUAACGGCGAGUGAAGCGGCAACAGCUCAAAUUUGAAAUCUGGGGCCGUUAGGCACCCCGAGUUGUAAUUUGUAGAGGAUGCUUCGGCGCGUGGNNCGGGCCAAGUUCCUUGGANCAGGACGCCCCAGAGGGUGAGAGCCCCGUACGCCUGGGACCCACCGCCGUAUUAAAAGAAGCUCCUUCGACGAGUCGAGUUGUUUGGGAAUGCAGCUCUAAGCGGGAGGUAAAUUUCUUCUAAAGCUAAAUACUGGCCAGAGACCGAUAGCGCACAAGUAGAGUGAUCGAAAGAUGAAAAGCACUUUGGAAAGAGAGUUAAGAAGCACGUGAAAUUGUUGAAAGGGAAGCUCUUGCUGUCAGACUUGUCGCGGUCGUUCAGCCGUCCCCCGGGGCGGUGUACUCUUCCGCGGCGGGCCAGCAUCAGCUCUGGCGGCCGGACAAAGGUCCCGGGAAUGUAGCCCCUCUCGGGGGGUGUUAUAGCCCGGGUCGUAAUGCGGUCAGCCGGGGCUGAGGAAAGCGUUUUUGCUAGGAUGCUGGCGUAAUGGCAGCAAGCGACC
RNAcentral lists this ribosomal RNA (1203 nucleotides) under uncultured fungus. RNAcentral describes it as "eukaryotic LSU rRNA". The stretch from base 568 to 1203 matches the Rfam family "Eukaryotic large subunit ribosomal RNA", at positions 1 to 649 of the family's 3401-position model. The record is from RNAcentral. Lineage: Eukaryota; Fungi.